Juglans microcarpa x Juglans regia is the source of this 602-nucleotide long non-coding RNA. RefSeq lists it as uncharacterized. The transcript is spliced from 3 exons. The record is from RefSeq and is a predicted model, not a curated record. NCBI's taxonomy places the organism in Eukaryota, Viridiplantae, Streptophyta, Magnoliopsida, Fagales, Juglandaceae.
UAUGUGUAGUCUUAUCUUCCUUUUCUAAAAUGUAUGUAUUGCCUUAUCUAUUUUCUGCCUUGUAUGUGCUGCCUUGUUUAGUUUCUACCUUGUAUAUGUUGUCUUAUCUAUUUUUUUACCUUGUAUGUGCUGCCUUGUCUAUUUUCUGACAACUUAAAUAUUACGAUUCUUCAAGGAUGAACACUCCAUUUGAGGAGGACCUCUUCUUCACCACUCGUUUACAAAGUGGAGGAGAAGGUUGUAAUAACACUCCAACAUACACACAACAUUCUAAUGUUGUGGUCCAAACAACCCCCAUUCACUGUGAAAAGAGGCCUCCGGCAAAAAAAGUUCAAAGAGUUGCAUCUUUCACUGUUGCGGAGGAUAACUUACUUGUCUCCGGUUGGCUCAACAUUAGCAUUGAUGCCAUACGGGAUACUGAUAAAAAAUCUACUCAAAUGUGGGAUAGAAUUUCUGAGUUUUAUCACGAGUAUAAAAAACCAAAUACUGUGAACUGUUCGGUAGGGUCAUUGAUCAAUCGUUGGUCCAUAAUCCAAAAAUGCACAAACAAGUUUUGCGCAUUUCUAGCGCAGAAAGAGUCAUUGCACCCAAGUGGUGCAACU